UUGAAUAAACUUGGUUGGGUUGCUGCUGGCUCUUAGGAGCAUGUGCACACUCACUCCRUUUUAACCACCUGUGCACAUACUGUAGGCCUGAAUGAAACUGUUCGAGGAAACUCGGUUUGAGGACUGUUGUGAAAAUCAGCUGUUCUUGCAUUCCAGGUCUAUGUUUUUAACAUAUACUCCAUAACAAGUUAUAGAAUGUUAAUCAUGGGCCUUCUGUGCCUUUAAAUUAUAAUACAACUUUCAACAACGGAUCUCUUGGCUCUCGCAUCGAUGAAGAACGCA
Molecule: unclassified non-coding RNA, 282 nt
Filed under: Clitopilus davisii
Lineage: Eukaryota; Fungi; Basidiomycota; Agaricomycetes; Agaricales; Entolomataceae
Description: sequence contains ITS1 and 5.8S rRNA gene
Rfam family: 5.8S ribosomal RNA (bases 236-282)
Source: RNAcentral